RNAcentral lists this ribosomal RNA (373 nucleotides) under uncultured bacterium. RNAcentral's name for it is "bacterial SSU rRNA". It matches the Rfam family "Bacterial small subunit ribosomal RNA", at positions 525 to 896 of the family's 1533-position model. The record is from RNAcentral.
ACGGAGGAUGCAAGUGUUAUCCGGAAUCACUGGGCGUAAAGCGUCUGUAGGUUGUUUAAAAAGUCCACUGUUAAAAGUUGAAGCUUAACUUCAAAAAUGCCGUAGAAACUUUUAAACUGGAGUAUGGUAGGGGUAGAGGGAAUUUCCAGUGGAGCGGUGAAAUGCGUAGAUAUUGGAAAGACCACCAAUGGCGAAGGCACUCUACUGGGCCACUACUGACACUGAGAGACGAAAGCUAGGGGAGCAAAUGGGAUUAGAUACCCCAGUAGUCCUAGCCGUAAACGAUGGAUACUAAAUGUUGCGUGUAUUGACCCACGCAGUGUUGUAGCUAACGCGUUAAGUAUCCCGCCUGGGAAGUAUGCUCGCAAGAGUG